AUGAGGGAAGAAGAACAAAUUGUGAAAUAGAGAGGAAAAUUGUUUCGCAUAUUGAUGAAUUGAGUUGCAGAAAACAAACAUCUAUUACUGAAGGUCCAUUGGUUAGCUGUCCUAGCACUCCUAGCAGUGUUACUCCUAGAAAGCCUGUAGGUCGUAAAAACCAUUCAGAAUAUCAAGUCUCAGAGAUGGAACUUAAGUUCAAAUCAAAUAUGUAUUUGACCCCAGAAAUGUGUCAACAGUUGGCUGAGAAAUUGCAGCUAACUGAUCGUCAGCUCAAGGCCUGGUUUUCAAACCGUCGUACAAAGGUUGGAAAACUUUCCAUGGCUCAGGAAGGACCCAUAAAAUAGGAUGCGUUUCAAAUCUCCGACAACGCCCGUGGCUAAAAAUGGCCGAGCAUAUAAGAUGCAGGUCAGAAAUCAGUUGGGGGCCAUUUGAAACUCCGGUUUGCCUUCAAAUUCAACAAAUACAUACAUAUAUAGUUUUACAUGA
Drosophila willistoni is the source of this 489-nucleotide long non-coding RNA. RefSeq lists it as uncharacterized. NCBI's taxonomy places the organism in Eukaryota, Metazoa, Arthropoda, Insecta, Diptera, Drosophilidae. The record is from RefSeq and is a predicted model, not a curated record. The transcript is spliced from 3 exons.